Molecule: long non-coding RNA, 634 nt
Filed under: Pan troglodytes (chimpanzee)
Lineage: Eukaryota; Metazoa; Chordata; Mammalia; Primates; Hominidae
Description: lincRNA
Source: RNAcentral
UGAGAACAUCUUGUUGGUUCUUAGUUAUUAAAGUAUUUGAUCACAUUUUAGAAAUUCUGAUAACUUUGGGCAAGCUGACAGGACAUAGUUUGAGAUGGUGAUAGAACAUAUUGUGAAUUACAGCCUUGGAUACAGAAUAGCAUUGGAACUGAUUUAAUCGAUAAAUUGUUCUGACCCAUUCAGGGCAUUUUGGGGACAGACUCUACAGUUUAGUGGCCCCAGGACAUCCUACAAAAGAGGUGAAAUCAGUAUUGGAGAAGUGGUCUCAUGAAGAUGGGAGCACGACUACUACAAUUGACUGCUGACUUCUCACCCAAGGAAGUAACUGUAUCCCAGCCUGAUCUCAGUGGAUAAGCCCACAGGGUUAAGGAGUAAUCAUCAUGCUCCAUUUCGUUUUUGAGCCAUCUUCAGCCUUUGAGUCCUUAAGCUUUUUGGAGACAGUUUGUGGAGAAGGUCCUCACAACAUUGUGCAACAGGUGUGAAAGAUGUAGUCUCCAUUUACGGCUACUGAAAUAGGCUGAGAGAGGGUGAAGAAACUGAGGCUUGGAGGGUCCGAAUAACUUGCCCAAUAUCACAGAAAAGAUGUUCAAGAAAAAGAACAACUUCAGUGGAAGAAGAAGAAGAUAGGAGCCCA